This 189-nucleotide ribosomal RNA is filed under the name uncultured bacterium. Its description in RNAcentral is "partial 16S ribosomal RNA". It matches the Rfam family "Bacterial small subunit ribosomal RNA", at positions 338 to 524 of the family's 1533-position model. The record is from RNAcentral.
CCUACGGGAGGCAGCAGUGAGGAAUAUUGGUCAAUGGACGCAAGUCUGAACCAGCCACGUCGCGUGAAGGAAGACGGCCCUACGGGUUGUAAACUUCUUUUAUACGGGAAUAAAGUGCCCCACGUGUGGGGUUUUGCAUGUACCGUAUGAAUAAGGAUCGGCUAACUCCGUGCCAGCAGCCGCGGUAAU